RNAcentral lists this long non-coding RNA (2281 nucleotides) under Marmota monax (woodchuck). Lineage: Eukaryota; Metazoa; Chordata; Mammalia; Rodentia; Sciuridae. The record is from RNAcentral.
GCCGAGGACCAGGGCAGGAGAAGGGGAGAGGAGAGACAGACAGACAGACAGACACUAACUCGAGCUCCUUCUCCUGGAAGAGAACUGGUCACCCCCAGCCCCUGCACGUAUUACCUGGGGCUGGACCAGAUCAGGCUGCAAAGAUGCAAAGAGCUGCCCACGGGCUUUGCCUCCCCUCUCAAGAUGUCUUUUGAAAAACAAAAUUGAACAAAUUGGCAAUGUUUAAAAAUUGGGAUUUUACACCUAAAAAAUCUGUUUGUUUGUUUGUUUUCCUCUUGAAAAACUGGAGUUCUGGUCCUGACCGGGAGCUGGGGCUGGGCAGUUUCUGCUCCCACGGGAAGGUCUUGAGGUUUCUGCGUGGACAUGGCCCUCCCCCAUCUGAUCUCCCUCGUCUCUGAGCACAGCCUCUAGUCGGCUUUUAUGAGCCCUCUCUGUCACCUCCAGGUGACCCCCGGGCCCCAGGAGGAUUGGGGUGGAGACCCUGGACUGAAGGGUGUUCAACCUUUAUAUUCUGGGACCGUCUCAGUUCAAAUGCCACCUACUCAGGGGGCCUUCCCUGACCACCUGAGACAAAAUAGCCCCCUCCCCUCCCUCUUCAUACCUUUGCUCACCAGGAAGCAGCAGCAAAGAGGCUGGGCUGGGGUCCCCUUAACGUUUGGGGAAACUGACAUUCAGAGCAGUAAAGCAACCAGCUCAAGGGCACACAGCCUGUGGGUGACUGAGCCAGGGCUGUUUCACUUGAGCCCUGUUGGCCUCACGCUGCUGGGCACAGCUUUACCAAUGUCCUCAUGACAGAGCAGGCAGGGAGGGACUCUGGAGCCACCAAGCAGAGGGGACUUCCAUUAGGCUUGUCCCCAGGGGUUCUGCCUGGCACAUGGUAGGCACUCAGCCAUAUUCAUGGGGAAAAGAAAUGACUGGAUUUGAGAUGCGUACAUAUCUGUUAUAUAAAAACCUAUAUGUGUGCGUGUGUGUGUGUGUGUAGGUAAGUAAAAUAUCUAGCACGAACUAUUUUCGGGGAUGGGAUUAGAGGGAAUUUCAUUUUUGUUUUUGGCAAUUUUAAAUGUACUUUCAAAAGAAAAAAAAAGAGAAAAGAGAAAAUCCCAGCGCUCUCUUCUAUAUAACGCUCCCGUCCUCUGGUUCCAAGGAAUUUAUUGAAAAUAAAGAUUCAACCAUGUCUCUGCUUAAAACCCCAAAUCCUGCAUGUGGCCUCUGGGCCCUCCCUGCCUCCCUCUCCUGAGGCUGGAGUGAGGCAGCAGGAGGCUGGUUGGGAAGGGGACCUCCCGGGUCCUGACCCUGCCACCUCCUCUCUGAAGCCUUCCUGAGUCUCUCUGGGGACCUUCAUGAGGUCGCUUGUCCCUUGCAUCUUGUCCAUCUCAUGUUAAUUGGCGAUUCCUAGUUUACAUUAAGACUCCCUCCCCACCCACGAGGCCGGCUCUUCUCAGGGUGGGGUCCUGCCUGAUCAUUCCUGGGUGCCCAGUCUCUGAUGAUGGCCUGGCCCAUGUUUCCCCUUCUGUGGGCUGGGUGGGCCUCGAGGGCCAACCUCCAAGUCCCCCGCGUUCUAGGACGGAUUCUGCAGAGCCUCAGUUUCUCCUCUGUCACAUGAGGUGGCCGCCACCCCUGCCUCUCCUGGUGCCUUGAGGACACUGCCCGGGGUGUGUACUGAGCGUGGGCAGCACUGCUCUCAGGUGGGGCGUCUGUCCAAAGCCACUGGUCUCUCUCCACACCCCAACCCUGUGGCAUCUGCCGCCACUUCUGGAAGCUGCUCUAGCUGUGCUGGUCUAAGCUGCUCAGCAGAAAUUUUCCCUUUUGAUCUGACAACCCACAGAGGGGCUGAGAUGAAGGCCCAGUGUCCCUUUGAAAUGCAAAACCCUCCUGUCCCCCAGCUGUUCCCAGGGCCACCGUGGCUCCCAGCGCUGCUGAGGCAAAGCCCUAGCCUAAGCACACUCUCAGGGACUGUGGGGCCUGGUCUGUCCCCCCCACUCCCAUUCCAUUGUGGAGGCUGAGGCCAGGAGAGUCCCCAAGGCCACUCCUGCAGUGGGCAGAGCCAGGUUCCUAGCCAGGCCUGUUGGGGAUCUGUCCCCUGGGCGUGGCCAGCCUGCAGGUCGUCUCAGGAGCCAUCCAGGGGAGCGUCUAAGAGCUACAAGGACGCGUCUCUGCUGACCUUGCUGUGUCUGUGCUAGAUGGUCACCUGCUGCUCACUGCAGGUGGGAUACUGCUGACCCUCAUGUCACAGAGACCUCCUGUGGGACACUGGGGCUCCCAGACGGCUCUGGACCAAGGU